UUUUUUUUUUUUUAAAAUAAUAGUUUAUUAAUUUUUUAUUGAUUGAAUAUAUAUACAUCCACGUGCAUACAAGAACUUUUCUAUGAAUAGUACAUCCCACCUGAUUAUAAAAGAUGAUGCAUAUGCAAUUGGUGCAUCUAAUAACCUCCCACAAGGAAAAAUAUGCAUCUAAUAAUCUCCCACAGGUAAAGAUAUUCAUUAAAUCCGAAGCCACCCAUGAGGCUCAGAAGUUAGUACGUCUCGGCGACCCUUGAAGUAAACAACCAUCUUAUCCCUGGGAGGCAAAUUGUCCUUGAUCAAAGGAUGGUUGAUAAAUCUGUGCAUCCAUGAAGAAAUUGCUGGAAAUUGCUGGCUCUCGAGGAUCUUCAUAGAUCCAACUUCUUCCCAUACAGGCAACCAGUAAGAGAUCCAUCCUACAGCAAUGUCCACAUAUCCAAUUCUUUCUCCUCCAAAAAAUUGCUUCCCUUUUAGUUUUAGCUCUUCCUCUGUCUUUUGCAGGGCUUCAAUGGUCAAUUUUAUUGCUCUUUCUUUUUCAUCUCCAAAGGAGCACAGGGCAUUCCAUGCAGCUUCCGUAAUCUUCUCUUCUGCAAAUUUAGCCCAGAAGCGGGCCUGGGCUCUUUCAUGAGGAUCUUGAGGCAGUAACGUAUACUUGUCCUUCCAUGUCUCGUCGAUAUACUCGAGGAUAAUGAAGGACUCAGCGAUUAUUUUCUUGUUGUGAAUAAGUACAGGGACCUUCUUAUGGACGGGAUUUAGCUGAAUAAGCGAAGAGCUCUUGUUAAAGAUGUCUUCUUCUAUGUACUCGUAAUCAACGCCUUUCAGUUUCAGAGCCCACUCUACUCUGCGCACAAAUGGGCUAACCCAGAAACCUAAAACCUUCACCACCUCCUCCUUUGCCAUGAGAGAUUCUGCUAUUUUUCUU
Molecule: unclassified non-coding RNA, 919 nt
Filed under: Hevea brasiliensis (rubber tree)
Lineage: Eukaryota; Viridiplantae; Streptophyta; Magnoliopsida; Malpighiales; Euphorbiaceae
Source: RNAcentral